UUAGAAUUACAUGCGGAUCAAUACAUGUAGUUGAGAUCAAUGAACGAAUGAAGAAAAGUGAUCAGGAUUAACUUACGGUUGAUGGAGGUGAUAUAGAUUGCUUUGCAGGCCCUGCAGUAGGCCUCCCCAGUCUUCAGUUUCAUGUCCAUGAGCGACGAAGAAAACCCAUCAGCUUCUUCUAGUUUCAAUAUGGAUACCAAGUUCCUCCGUAAUGUUAAUUUAAACUGAACCCAAGAAUGAGGAGAGCUGCAAGACAGGUCACUUACAUGGAGCAGUCGAUGCUCUUGUCAUGGUUGCAGAAAGGGCAGGUGAAGCUCACGUCCAGCUUAGGCUGGGGCUUCUUGGGAACUAGCUUU
This 356-nucleotide long non-coding RNA is filed under the name Phoenix dactylifera (date palm). Its description in RNAcentral is "long non-coding RNA (PDAC_LNC004487)". The record is from RNAcentral. Lineage: Eukaryota; Viridiplantae; Streptophyta; Magnoliopsida; Arecales; Arecaceae.